This is a small nuclear RNA of Ochotona curzoniae (black-lipped pika), 107 nucleotides long. NCBI's taxonomy places the organism in Eukaryota, Metazoa, Chordata, Mammalia, Lagomorpha, Ochotonidae. The record is from RefSeq and is a predicted model, not a curated record.
GGGCUCACCUUGGCAGCACAUAUAUUAAAAUUGAAAUGAUACAGAGAAGAUUAACACGGCCCCUGUACAAGGAUGACAUGCAAAUUGGUCAAGUGUUCCAUAUUAGG